Molecule: unclassified non-coding RNA, 1361 nt
Filed under: uncultured cyanobacterium
Lineage: Bacteria; Bacillati; Cyanobacteriota
Description: bacterial SSU rRNA
Rfam family: Bacterial small subunit ribosomal RNA (bases 1-1064)
Source: RNAcentral
GGUACCUGAAGAAAAAGCAUCGGCUAACUCCGUGCCAGCAGCCGCGGUAAUACGGAGGAUGCAAGCGUUAUCCGGAAUCAUUGGGCGUAAAGGGUCCGCAGGUGGCGAAUAAAGUCUGCUGUUAAAGACCGGGGCUAAACUCCGGAAAGGCAGUGGAAACUGAUUAGCUAGAGUACGGUAGGGGUAGAGGGAAUUCCCAGUGUAGCGGUGAAAUGCGUAGAUAUUGGGAAGAACACCGGUGGCGAAAGCGCUCUACUAGGCCGAAACUGACACUGAAGGAUGAAAGCUAGGGUAGCGAAAGGGAUUAGAUACCCCUGUAGUCUUAGCGGUAAACGAUGGAUACUAGGUGUAGCUUGUAUCGACCCGAGCUGUGCCGAAGCUAACGCGAUAAGUAUCCCGCCUGGGGAGUACGCACGCAAGUGUGAAACUCAAAGGAAUUGACGGGGGCCCGCACAAGCGGUGGAGUAUGUGGUUUAAUUCGAUGCAACGCGAAGAACCUCACCAGGGCUUGACAUGUCGCGAAUCUAGCGGAAACGUUAGAGUGCCUUAGGGAAUGCGAACACAGGUGGUGCAUGGCUGUCGUCAGCUCGUGUCGUGAGAUGUUGGGUUAAGUCCCGCAACGAGCGCAACCCUCGUCCUUAGUUGCCAAUAUUAAGUUAGGCACUCUAGGGAGACUGCCGGGGACAACUCGGAGGAAGGUGGGGAUGACGUCAAGUCAGCAUGCCCCUUACGUCCUGGGCGACACACGUACUACAAUGGUUGGGACAAAGGGCAGCAAACUCGCGAGAGUAAGCGAAUCUCAUCAAACCCAGCCACAGUUCAGAUUGCAGGCCGCAACUCGCCUGCAUGAAGUAGGAAUCGCUAGUAAUCGCAGGUCAGCAUACUGCGGUGGAUUCGUUCCCGGGCCUUGUACACACCGCCCGUCACACCAUGGAAGCUGGCUACGCCCGAAGUCGUUACCCUAACCCGGUUUUGGGAGGGGGAUGCCGAAGGUAGAGCUAGUGACUGGGGUGAAGCCGUAACAAGGUAGCCGUACCGGAAGGUGUGGCUGGAUCACCUCCUUUACAGGGAGACCUAGUCUAAUUACCAAUAGAUAAAAAAGUUGGUAAUUCGCAAGAAUCCUUAGGUCGUGAGGGGAGCAAGAAAAAACUUUCAAACUGUAAUGGGUGAGGGUCAAUGGGCUAUUAGCUCAGGUGGUUAGAGCGCACCCCUGAUAAGGGUGAGGUCCCUGGUUCAAGUCCAGGAUGGCCCACCUAAAAUACACAGGCAUCCUGCCUGUGCCACAAAAAAAGGAAAAAGUUUUGGUAUUGUCUCUUGUAAUCAAGAGCAAGAGAUAACGCUGGAAUAGAUUCCAGCAAGAA